This 247-nucleotide non-coding RNA is filed under the name Andreesenella acetica. RNAcentral describes it as "Clostridium aceticum T-box sequence". It matches the Rfam family "T-box leader". From Rfam's summary of the family: Uncharged tRNA acts as the effector for transcription antitermination of genes in the T-box leader family. T-boxes are found upstream of many aminoacyl-tRNA synthetase genes and some amino acid biosynthetic genes usually in Gram-positive bacteria. Lineage: Bacteria; Bacillati; Bacillota; Clostridia; Peptostreptococcales; Natronincolaceae. The record is from RNAcentral.
AUGAAAACGAAGAUAGAGACAUAUAUUUAUGUUAAACAGUCUUAGAGAGUCGGUGCUUGCUGAAAGCCGAUACUGUCCAUAGAUAUAGAUCACUCUUGAGUUAUAUCUUUGAAAACUUCUUGUAAGUUAGUAGAGGAUAUCGAUUAGCCCCGUUAAAGGCUUAGGUUUGUUGGAACUGAAGAAGAGGUAUCUAUUUUUAUACGUAGAUACAAUUAAGGUGGUACCGCGGAUGAUAUCCGUCCUUAAA